Molecule: non-coding RNA, 296 nt
Filed under: Bacillus tuaregi
Lineage: Bacteria; Bacillati; Bacillota; Bacilli; Caryophanales; Bacillaceae
Source: RNAcentral
AGUUAACGGAAAAAAGUCAACGUUUUUUGGCUCCUUUGAAGCGGUUGCAGUACUUAAUACUGCUGAAUCACCAUAGCGAACUAAAACAGCACCAUUCGCUUGUUUAGCUAACUGUCCAAUUUCAACUGUUAAAUUUCGGCCAGCCCAAUUUAUUGAAUAAACAUGCUUAUCUUGUCCCAUUCAUUUAUUACUCCUCUCUACCUAAAAUACAUUAGAGGUACUGCGAAACAUUAUCCAUUCGCACAUACUUAUUCUAUAUAUAUAAAGCAGUUUUCAUUUAGUAAAACAUAGCUAUU